AUUGAACGCUGGCGGCAUGCCUUACACAUGCAAGUCGAACGGUAACAGGUCUUCGGAUGCUGACGAGUGGCGAACGGGUGAGUAAUACAUCGGAACGUGCCCGAUCGUGGGGGAUAACGCAACGAAAGCUACGCUAAUACCGCAUACGAUCUACGGAUGAAAGCGGGGGAUCGCAAGACCUCGCGCGAUUGGAGCGGCCGAUAUCAGAUUAGCUAGUUGGUGGGGUAAAAGCUCACCAAGGCGACGAUCUGUAGCUGGUCUGAGAGGACGACCAGCCACACUGGAACUGAGACACGGUCCAGACUCCUACGGGAGGCAGCAGUGGGGAAUUUUGGACAAUGGGCGCAAGCCUGAUCCAGCAAUGCCGCGUGCAGGAUGAAGGCCUUCGGGUUGUAAACUGCUUUUGUACGGAACGAAACGGUGAGCUCUAAUAAAGCUUGCUAAUGACGGUACCGUAAGAAUAAGCACCGGCUAACUACGUG
RNAcentral lists this ribosomal RNA (482 nucleotides) under uncultured bacterium. RNAcentral's name for it is "bacterial SSU rRNA". It matches the Rfam family "Bacterial small subunit ribosomal RNA", at positions 30 to 507 of the family's 1533-position model. The record is from RNAcentral.